Molecule: ribosomal RNA, 242 nt
Filed under: uncultured bacterium
Lineage: Bacteria
Description: partial 16S ribosomal RNA
Rfam family: Bacterial small subunit ribosomal RNA
Source: RNAcentral
CGGACCGGCGCACGGUGAGUAACGCGUAUGCAACUUACCUAUCAGGAGGGGAUAACCCGGCGAAAGUCGGACUAAUACCGCAUGAAGCAGGGGCCCCGCAUGGGGAUAUUUGCUAAAGAUUCAUCGCUGAUAGAUAGGCAUGCGUUCCAUUAGGCAGUUGGCGGGGUAACGGCCCACCAAACCGACGAUGAUAGGGGUUCUGAGAGGAAGGUCCCCCACAUUGGUACUGAGACACGGACCAA